GGCGGGAUUGAAGACGGCUGGACUGCCAAUGCGCCUGCGCAGGGGGUCCGGGGCUAGCGCCGCUGGGCUGCUCUGCCCGAAGGGCUCAACUGUCAGUGCGCCUGCGCGGGAGGCCAGUAGGUAGCCAAUGCUCCCUGGACGCCCCGCUAGGGCCCUGCUGUCAGUGCGCCUGCGCGAGGGGCCAGUAUGUUGCCGAUGCUCCCUGGACGCCCCGCCAGGGCCCUGCUGUCAGUGCGCCUGCGCGCGGGCUGGGCGCCGCGGUUCUUGACUUUGCUGUGCCGGACUCCGAGUGUAGACAUGCAGCAAGCCGACUCCGAGCAGCCCUCCAAGCGGCCCCGUUGCGAUGACAGCCCGAGAACCCCCCCAAACACCCCUUCCGCAGAGGCAGACCGGUCCUUGGGUCCGGAACUCCAUCCUGACCACAAGACGUGGGGCCCGGAGCAGGUGUGCUCCUUCCUCAGGCGCGGUGGCUUCAAAGAGCCGGGGCUGUUGAAGAACAUCCGAGAAAAUAAAAUCACAGGCUCAUUACUGCCCUGUCUUGAUGAGUCUCAUUUUGAAAAUCUUGGAGUAAGUUCCUUGUGGGAGAGGAAGAGGCUGCUUAGUUAUAUCCAGCGAAUGAGUCAAAUCCACAUUGAUACGAUGAAGGUAAUUAAUGAUCCUAUCCAUGGCCACAUUGAGCUCCACCCUCUCCUCAUCCGAAUCAUUGAUACGCCUCAAUUUCAACGUCUUCGAUAUAUCAAACAGCUGGGAGGUGGUUAUUAUGUUUUUCCAGGAGCUUCACACAAUCGAUUUGAGCAUAGUCUAGGGGUGGGGUAUUUGGCAGGAUGUCUAGUUCGAGCACUUUGUGAAAAACAACCAGAGCUGCAGAUAAGUGAACGAGAUAUGCUCUGUGUUCAGAUUGCUGGGCUUUGUCAUGAUCUUGGUCAUGGGCCAUUUUCUCACAUGUUUGAUGGACGAUUUAUUCCACUUGCUCGCCCGGAGGUGAAAUGGACACAUGAACAAGGCUCAGUUAAGAUGUUUGAGCACCUAAUUAAUUCUAAUGGACUCAAGGCUGUCAUGGAACACUAUGGUCUCAUCCCUGAAGAAGAUAUUUGCUUUAUCAAGGAACAAAUUGCAGGACCACUUGAAUCACCUAUCAAAAAAGAUUCUUUGUGGCCAUAUAAAGGGCGUCCUAAAGAAAAAAGCUUCCUUUAUGAGAUAGUGGCUAAUAAAAGAAAUGGCAUUGAUGUGGACAAGUGGGAUUAUUUUGCCAGGGACUGCCAUCAUCUUGGAAUCCAAAAUAAUUUUGAUUACAAGCGUUUUAUUAAGUUUGCCCGUGUCUGUGAAGUAGAAAGCAAGUUGCAUAUUUGUACUAGAGAUAAGGAAGUUGGAAAUCUGUAUGACAUGUUCCACACUCGCAACUGUUUACACCGUAGAGCUUAUCAACACAAAGUUGGCAACAUCAUUGAUACAAUGAUUACAGAUGCGUUCCUCAAAGCGGACCCCUACAUAGAGAUUACAGGUACUGAAGGAAAGAAGUAUUGCAUUUCUACAGCAAUUGAUGACAUGGAAGCCUACACUAAGCUGACAGAUAACAUUUUUCUGGAGAUUUUAUACUCUACUGAUCCCAAAUUGAAGGCGGCACGAGAGAUUUUAAAAAGUAUUGAAUACCGUAAUUUAUACAAGUAUGUGGGUGAGACCCAGCCAACAGGACAAAUAAAGAUUAAAAGGGAGAACUAUGAAUGUCUUCCAAAAGAGGUUGCUGAUGCUAAACCCAAAGUACCACUAGAAGUAAAGCUGAAGGCUGAACAUUUUAUAGUGGAUGUUAUCAACAUGGAUUAUGGAAUGCAAGACAAGAAUCCAAUUGAUCAUGUUCGAUUCUAUUGUAAGAGUGACCCCAGCAAAGCGAUAAUGAUUACUAAAAACCAGGUUUCACAACUUCUGCCAGAGAGAUUUGCAGAGCAGCUGAUUCGAGUAUACUGUAAGAAGACAGAUGCGAAGAGUUUGUAUGCUGCACAGCAACACUUUGUUCAGUGGUGUUCUGACAAAAAUUUCACCAAGCCGCAGAGUCACAGGCACCCGGUACUGGUGGCAGGCAGAAGGGCCUCAACGUGCCAGAGCAGCCCAGAGGAAGAACAACGCUGCUAGAGCCUUUCUUAGUUCCAGUGCUCAAGCCCAGGUGUCCAAGGUUUGACAACAUUCUGACAUGACCUUGACCUGAAGGAGUAAGGUAAACAUUGCUGUGGAAGAAAUUAAGACCAAGUUCAUGGUGCCGCUUGGAAUCGUGAUCAAGGGACUACCAGGAAUUCAUGGGGAAUACAAGUGCCAGAAGACCAAAGAUAGAGACAGCAUCUCACUCUGUUGCCCAGGCUGGUCUUGAACUCCUGAGCUCCAGCAAUCAUCCCACCUCAGCCCCGCAAAAUGCUGGGAUUACAGGUAUGAGCCAGCCACCGCACCUGGCCAUCUUUGGUUUUGUUUUUGUUUUUUUCCUAUUUGUAGAGAAUGGCACCUCACUCUGUUGCCCAGGCUGGUCUUGAACUCCUGGGCUCAAGAGAUUCUCCUGCCUCUGCCUCCCUAAGUGCUGGGAUUAUAGGCAUGAGCCACAGUGCUUGGCCUGGCCAUUUUUAUUAGUAGUAAAAAUAGUAUGCUCUGUGCCCAGCAGGUACUGCUCAAUAGCUUCAGUUGAUGAAUAGCCCAGAGGCAAGAAGUCUUUGGAUGGAAGGCGUUUGGGAUUGUGAUUCUCACCCAGCUCCUUGGCAGCUUGUGCCACCUGACUGUACCAGUCACUCUUCCGCUCAUCAUUAAUUAGAAACUUGAGCUCUGACUCACCACCCCCGACCCUUCCCAGCGCCCUGGUAAACUUCACCAUCCAUGUGAAUCCAUCCAGGGCCUCCCCCAGAGUGGGUUUCCACCACUGUCUUUUGUGGUCACAUCUGAGAAUUUGUCCUCACCAGGGAUGGCAGGUGGCUCCUCCACAGCCUAUUUCAAAUGUCCUUCUCUCCUGUCUUCCAACACAUUGUUCAGCUGCUGUUGCUGCCCCAAGUCUUUGACGUCAAGGAGAACUCUCGCCCUGAGUCCACCUUUGCCUGGGUGCCCCUCAGCGCCCUGGCCUCCCUCCCCUCCGUGUCCAGUCUGAGUUCUAUGGUCCAUAUUGUAUUUUCAUUACGUUCAACUUUCUUGGUUCCCUCCACUGUUAAACCCAUUUGGCAAAAUCCCAACCCUGGCGGCCCACUCUCUGCAGUCCACUCUCUGCUGCCCCCACUCUGCAGGACUGCGCCGAGCAGCCAAUGCUGCCAAAGAAGCAGGCACCGAAACAGCAGCGCCCUGACCUCGCAACACCAGAUGCCACUCGCACAGCCCAGCAGCGCUUCUGCUGCUCUGACUCGAGCUUUCCAGCAGGUUUCCCUGCUUCCCUCCCUUCCCACACCUGUGAUGACUGUGAUAUUCCCUUCUUCGCCCUCCUCUAGCAGUGACCUCACCCCAUAUUUAUUCCUUUUUUUUUUUUUGGAGACAGGGUCUUGCUCUGUCACCCAGUCUGGAGUGUAGUGGUGCGAUCACAGCUCACCACAGCCUCAACCUCCCGAGUUUUUAAAAGAUCCUCCCCCCACAGCCUCUCGAGUAGCUGGGACCAUAGGUGUGCUCCACCAUGUCCAGCUAAUUUUUGUGUUUCUUGUAGAGGUGGGGUCUCCUUAUGUUGCCGAGGUUGAUCUUGAAAUCCUGGCCUCAAACGACCCAUUUGCGUUGGCCUCCAACGCAGGCCUGAACCACGGUGCUCAGCCUCCAUACUUCCUAAGAAGCCUCUGGCUGAGUCCUCCUUCGUCAUCCUGCCACCAUGCCCUCAGGUCUACCUUGGACCAUCUUGUCUUCCCAGCCUGUGCCUGGCAAGCACUGUCCUCCCUCCUCUCAGCCAGUCAGCAGUACCCAGAGACCCACCAAGCAUGUUUUAAAUGCAGGAUGGGCAGGUCAAGGGGGAUGCUCUGCCCACCCCUGCCCUGCUCAUUCCCCCUGUGGAAAGAUGGUGGCACACCAGGCAGCCCAUCAUGAAGGAUGGAGCUGGGGGGCCACUGGGACCCCAGGAGCUCUGUCUUGCCACACAUCCCACUCCCCCCAUGGAAGGUUGGAACAUCACCUUCAGCUGUGGAGAGAAGGAGAAGAGGAAUGUCUCGCCGGUGCCAUAGAAGCCUUUGCUGAGUCGGAGAGCCGAGGAGGAGAAGGCUCCAAAUAUCUGGAAAGCAGAAGUUGCAGUCUGCAGCUGUGAGGGAGCUGGGGGUCCUCUGGCAACCCCCAUUCUCCAGAUUUAGUAACAUGGGCUCAUCCUAGAGGGCACCUGGGAAGCUGGGGCAGAGCUGGGGCAUGGGGGCUGCACACCCAUGAACAGGAAUCCUUAUGCAUCCUUCCCUUAACGCUCCCCAAGGAAGAGCUCCUGGUGGCUCCUCCUCUGGGCAGUCAGAGCCCUCCUUUUUCUCAAAUACACUUAUUCUAGGCUGAGUGCGGUGGCUCACACCUGUAAUCCCAGCACUUUGGGAGGCUGAGGUCAGGAGUUGGAGACCAACCUGGCCAACAUAGCCAAACCCCAUCUCUCUACUAAGCAUACAAAAGUUAGCCAGGUGUGGUGGCAGGUGCCUGUAAUCCCAGCUGCUUAGGAGGCUGAGGCAGGAGAAUCACUUGAACCUGGGAGGUGGAGGUUGCAGUGAGCCAAGAUUGUGCCAUUACACUCCAGUCUGGAAGGCAAAGUGAGACUCUGUUUAUAUAUAUAUAUAUAUAUAUACUUACUCUAUACAAGUAAUCAUACAAAAAGUGGAAGUUAUAGACAAGCAAAAGAAAAGAAGUAAAGCUAUCUCCCAAUCCCCCUCCUUCCCCAGGGUAACUGCCUCAAUAUUUUUAUGUGUUUCCUUCUGACAUCAGUUUAAUGCCAGUGUAUAUCUUUUUUUCUUUUCUUUUUUUUUUUUUUUUUUUUGAUAGGGUCUCACUGUGUCCCCUAUGCUGGAGUGCAGUGGUGUGAUCCUGGCUCACUGUAGCCUCAACCUUGCAGGCUCAAGUGAUCCUCCUGCCUCAGCCUCCCUGCAAGACCCUCGGCCCCAGUUGCUGGGACUCUAGGCACACACCACCACACCUAAUUUUGUUGUUGUUUUGUAGAGAUAGCGUCUGGUUAUGUUGCCCAGGCUGGUUUUGAACUCCUGGACUCAAGCAAUCCUCCUGCCUCAGCCUCCCAGGGUGCUGGGAUUACAGGUGUGAGCCCCAUAGUUUCUUCUGCUUCCGAGGAUGAAGAUGCAGUUUUACAGUUUAAUGAUUAUUUGCUUUCUGUCUGACCCUUCCCCCUGUUAGACCAUUAGCUCCAAGAGAGCUGGGGCCACUUCUGGGUUGAUUCUGCUCUAUCCCACCUGUCACCUGGCAUGCAGAAGCUGUCUCAUGUAGAUGUGUUGAAUACAUAAAUGGGGAAUGGCUCUGAGUGGCCAGGUCUCGUUGCUAUCA
Molecule: non-coding RNA, 5451 nt
Organism: Callithrix jacchus (white-tufted-ear marmoset)
Lineage: Eukaryota; Metazoa; Chordata; Mammalia; Primates; Cebidae
Source: RefSeq, a predicted model, not a curated record